UACAUGGGGUGCAAACGUUGCUCGGAAUUACUGGGCGUAAAGCGUGCGCAGGCGGUUAUGCAAGACAGAUGUGAAAUCCCCGGGCUCAACCUGGGAACUGCAUUUGUGACUGCAUGGCUAGAGUACGGUAGAGGGGGAUGGAAUUCCGCGUGUAGCAGUGAAAUGCGUAGAUAUGCGGAGGAACACCGAUGGCGAAGGCAAUCCCCUGGACCUGUACUGACUCUCAUGCACGAAAGCGUGGGGAGCAAACAGG
This 253-nucleotide ribosomal RNA is filed under the name uncultured bacterium. Its description in RNAcentral is "partial 16S ribosomal RNA". It matches the Rfam family "Bacterial small subunit ribosomal RNA", at positions 524 to 776 of the family's 1533-position model. The record is from RNAcentral.